This 917-nucleotide long non-coding RNA is filed under the name Daucus carota (carrot). RNAcentral's name for it is "long non-coding RNA (DCAR_LNC006960)". The record is from RNAcentral. Lineage: Eukaryota; Viridiplantae; Streptophyta; Magnoliopsida; Apiales; Apiaceae.
CGGGUUUAAGAGCUCGCGGCUGGGCACCCAAAGGGCGCCGCCGGAGUUUGCCACCGCUGGCAGUGAGCUCAGGUGAGCCGGCGGUUGUAAGGCGAUGAUGAUUUUUGAGCCUAACUAUGUUAUAUGAGUGUGAUUAUGUGCUAUAUCAAAGUGUAAACAAGAAUAUUUGAGAAAUUGAGUUGAUUUUCUUGUUUUAGUAAUAAGUGUUUUGUGAUUAAUUGUGAGUAGGUGAUGUAUAUUUGUUUUAUGUGAGUUUUAAGUCAAAUAUGUAUAAUUGUAUGCGAUACUUUCAAGUUACUUGUGUAUACAAAAGAUUAAGGUGCCGGCUAUGAUAAAGAUUGAGCCGAAAAGAAUUGAUUAUAUUUUUGGACUUGGAUUGUUUGGAAUUUUAAUCAUUAUUAUUUAUGUUAAUUGGGUUGGAUAGUAGCUAUGUGGUGUAUACAGGUUGUGAUUAUUGUUGUUGGGUCGGUUUCAUUCCGACGGGUAGCACUAUUUACAGGGGAGGUGCUGUCGAAAUUUAGUCAUAAUAAUAAUAAUAGUAAUGAAAUGAAUUAGUUUUGGUAUAUGUUUGAUAUUAUGUGCAAACGCUUAUGUGUUAUGUAUAAUGACUGAUACAUGUAUUUGGGAGUAGACUAAUUAAGAAGAACUCUAGCUUAAUAGAUUAUAAAGAUAUAAUUAAAUAUAUUUUUUUUACGUGACAUAACGUGCUAUAAUCAUGUAUGCGUGUAUUUAAAUAUCUUAACUUGAUACAUGUUAUGUGAUAUGUGUUUGUAAAUUCUAUGUAUGUGUAUAUGAAUAUAAACUUAAUGAGGGAUUAAUUGUCGAAAGGGUAGAUAGUAGUUAGAGUUAGACGUUCAGAUGGACGUCGAACCUUAACGAGGGUACUGAAAUAGUGUUUCUCGUGAUUGUAGAUACGA